Molecule: ribosomal RNA, 253 nt
Filed under: uncultured bacterium
Lineage: Bacteria
Description: partial 16S ribosomal RNA
Rfam family: Bacterial small subunit ribosomal RNA
Source: RNAcentral
UACGUAGGGGGCUAGCGUUGUCCGGAAUCAUUGGGCGUAAAGCGCGCGUAGGCGGCCCGGUAAGUCCGCUGUGAAAGUCCAGGGCUCAACCCUGGAAAGCCGGUGGAUACUGGCGGGCUAGAGUCCGGAAGAGGCGAGUGGAAUUCCUGGUGUAGCGGUGGAAUGCGCAGAUAUCAGGAGGAACACCAAUGGCGAAGGCAGGUCGCUGGGACGGUACUGACGCUGAGGCGCGAAAGCGUGGGGAGCGAACAGG